GGGUUGUGAGGUUAAGCGACUAAGCGUACACGGUGGAUGCCCUGGCAGUCAGAGGCGAUGAAGGACGUGCUAAUCUGCGAAAAGCGCCGGCGAGGUGAUAUGAACCCUUGACCCGGCGAUGUCCGAAUGGGGAAACCCAGUGCAAUCCGUUGCACUAUCGUUAACUGAAUACAUAGGUUAACGAGGCGAACCGGGGGAACUGAAACAUCUAAGUACCCCGAGGAAAAGAAAUCAACCGAGAUUCCCCCAGUAGCGGCGAGCGAACGGGGAGCAGCCCGGAGUCUGAAUCAGCUUGUGUGUUAGUGGAACGGUCUGGAAAGUCCGACGGUACAGGGUGAUAGUCCCGUACACGAAAAUGCACAGGUUGUGAACUCGAAGAGUAGGGCGGGACACGUGGUAUCCUGUCUGAAUAUGGGGGGACCAUCCUCCAAGGCUAAAUACUCCUGACUGACCGAUAGUGAACCAGUACCGUGAGGGAAAGGCGAAAAGAACCCCGGCGAGGGGAGUGAAAAAGAACCUGAAACCGUGUACGUACAAGCAGUGGGAGCCUCUUUAUGGGGUGACUGCGUACCUUUUGUAUAAUGGGUCAGCGACUUAUAUUCUGUAGCAAGGUUAACCGUAUAGGGGAGCCGAAGGGAAACCGAGUCUUAACUGGGCGUUAAGUUGCAGGGUAUAGACCCGAAACCCGGUGAUCUAGCCAUGGGCAGGUUGAAGGUUGGGUAACACUAACUGGAGGACCGAACCGACUAAUGUUGAAAAAUUAGCGGAUGACCUGUGGCUGGGGGUGAAAGGCCAAUCAAACCGGGAGAUAGCUGGUUCUCCCCGAAAGCUAUUUAGGUAGCGCCUCGUGAACUCAUCUUCGGGGGUAGAGCACUGUUUCGGCUAGGGGGCCAUCCCGGCUUACCAACCCGAUGCAAACUACGAAUACCGAAGAAUGUUAUCACGGGAGACACACGGCGGGUGCUAACGUCCGUCGUGAAGAGGGAAACAACCCAGACCGCCAGCUAAGGUCCCAAAGUCAUGGUUAAGUGGGAAACGAUGUGGGAAGGCACAGACAGCCAGGAUGUUGGCUUAGAAGCAGCCAUCAUUUAAAGAAAGCGUAAUAGCUCACUGGUCGAGUCGGCCUGCGCGGAAGAUGUAACGGGGCUAAACCAUGCACCGAAGCUGCGGCAGCGACACUUAUGUGUUGUUGGGUAGGGGAGCGUUCUGUAAGCCGUUGAAGGUGUGCUGUGAGGCAUGCUGGAGGUAUCAGAAGUGCGAAUGCUGACAUAAGUAACGAUAAAGCGGGUGAAAAGCCCGCUCGCCGGAAGACCAAGGGUUCCUGUCCAACGUUAAUCGGGGCAGGGUGAGUCGACCCCUAAGGCGAGGCCGAAAGGCGUAGUCGAUGGGAAACAGGUUAAUAUUCCUGUACUUGGUGUUACUGCGAAGGGGGGACGGAGAAGGCUAUGUCAGCCGGGCGACGGUUGUCCCGGUUUAAGCAUGUAGGCGGAGGUUCCAGGUAAAUCCGGUACCUUUUAACGCUGAGGUGUGAUGACGAGGCACUACGGUGCUGAAGUGAUAAAUGCCCUGCUUCCAGGAAAAGCCUCUAAGCAUCAGGUAACACGAAAUCGUACCCCAAACCGACACAGGUGGUCAGGUAGAGAAUACCAAGGCGCUUGAGAGAACUCGGGUGAAGGAACUAGGCAAAAUGGUGCCGUAACUUCGGGAGAAGGCACGCUGAU
RNAcentral lists this ribosomal RNA (1721 nucleotides) under Enterobacter hormaechei. Its description in RNAcentral is "partial 23S ribosomal RNA". It matches the Rfam family "Bacterial large subunit ribosomal RNA", at positions 1 to 1755 of the family's 2925-position model. Lineage: Bacteria; Pseudomonadati; Pseudomonadota; Gammaproteobacteria; Enterobacterales; Enterobacteriaceae. The record is from RNAcentral.